This 1116-nucleotide long non-coding RNA is filed under the name Felis catus (domestic cat). RNAcentral's name for it is "lncRNA (ENSFCAG00000051006.1)". Lineage: Eukaryota; Metazoa; Chordata; Mammalia; Carnivora; Felidae. The record is from RNAcentral.
GGCGUCCUUAAUCUACAUCAACUGAGGUGGGACAAAAACAGCACUGUACUUGGUUUGCGCUCUGUGCCCUGAAGCAGAAAUGCCUUUAAUUGUUCAUUGCAAAAUAAACAGAUGUCUAGUGGAGAAGGUUAUUAAAAAUAUGUUGUGCAUUUUGGGAGAACUGGAGGUCAGGAUGGCUUGACCUAGCAUCUCACAGCAAACCCAAGUCAAGUAAGCCACCAAGGUAACAUAGCCUAUUCUUAGGGCAAAAUUUUCUGGUUGGCUAAUUUCUGGAUAUUAUUAAAAGGGACAGUACAUUUUGAAAAUAGAAUGAUGGCCAUCCUCAGGCAGGCGAAUUCUACUUUAAAAACAGAAGAUGUAAUGUGUCAGAUUCAAAUCAUAAGGAAAGGCUGCCCAGUUAAUAGGACAAAUGCCUCCACAUUGUAAAAUAAACAGGAUUUGAAAUGCAGACAGUCUUAUUUUGCAGUUACAAGUUAUUUAAAAAUCUUUAUAAAGACCUAAUAAUAAAAGAAUAAAAUGUUUAACAACAACUCCACAAGAACGCAUUAGUCAUAAGGUACAUAUUAAUUAAGGCCUCUCUUCUACUUACUUCAACAGGUGGCCUAGGAAGGGGGUGGUCCCAUGAGCUCUAGCAGCCAGGGGCCCGGGACCUCACUCUGGGAGACAGCCAGGGCAAAGGAACCAGCUGACCUUUCUCUGGCGCAGAGUGGCCUGGUGAGAUCCAGAAUUAAACUUUCUCUCUACAAUGACCUGUUCAGACGGCAAAUAGAUCCAUCAUCUGGUUCUGGGCCCUGCGGAAGACACCCCCCCACCCCCCCACCCCCUCAGCCCCCCACCCCCCCACCCCGCCCACGACUGCGCGGUGCGCCAUUUACACCGACUCCGGCCCUUCAGCAGGUGGCGCUGUUUGCUCUAUUCCCGCCGCUUGGCGUUCCCUUCCUUUCUAGAGCACGGUCCCCUUCCUUUUUUUUCAGUCCAUAUGUAACGGCUGCCUCUUUUACAUCGUUGCUUGGGAGGUACUCUCCCAGUGAUCUUAGCACUGAGGAGGAGAAGCAAAUUAGCAACAUGGAACAACUCACGUUUUCAUGUUUGAUCUUUAAAGCCCUCAUCUCCUGA